RNAcentral lists this ribosomal RNA (417 nucleotides) under uncultured bacterium. Its description in RNAcentral is "bacterial SSU rRNA". It matches the Rfam family "Bacterial small subunit ribosomal RNA", at positions 954 to 1372 of the family's 1533-position model. The record is from RNAcentral.
GCAUAACGCGAAGAACCUUACCACCUUUUGACAUGCCUGGACCGCCACGGAGACGUGGCUUUCUCUUCGGAGACUAGGACACAGGUGCUGCAUGGCUGUCGUCAGCUCGUGUCGUGAGAUGUUGGGUUAAGUCCCGCAACGAGCGCAACCCUUGUCGUUAAUUGCCAUCAUUUGGUUGGGCACUUUAACGAGACUGCCGGUGACAAACCGGAGGAAGGUGGGGACGACGUCAAAUCAUCAUGCCCCUUAUGUCCUGGGCCACACACGUAAUACAAUGGCGUUAAACAGGGGGAUGCGAAGCCGUGAGGUGGAGCGAACCCCUAAAAGGCGUCUCAGUUCGGAUCGCAGGCUGCAACUCGCCUGCGUGAAGUCGGAGUCGCUAGUAAUCGCGGAUCAGCAUGCCGCGGUGAAUACGUU